This 900-nucleotide ribosomal RNA is filed under the name uncultured bacterium. RNAcentral's name for it is "bacterial SSU rRNA". It matches the Rfam family "Bacterial small subunit ribosomal RNA", at positions 11 to 944 of the family's 1533-position model. The record is from RNAcentral.
GUUUGAUCCUGGCUCAGGACGAACGCUGGCGGCGUGCCUAAUGCAUGCAAGUCGCACGCACCCGCUUCGGCGGGUGAGUGGCGCACGGCUGAGUAACACGUGGGAACCCGCCCCCCGGUGGGGGAUAACGCGACGAAAGUUGCGCUAAUCCCGCAUACGUCCUUCGGGGGAAAGCGCAGUGCGCGCCGGGGGAGGGGCCUGCGGCCCAUCAGGUCGUUGGUGGGGUAAUGGCCUACCAAGCCGAUGACGGGUAGCUGGUCUGGGAGGAUGACCAGCCAGACUGGGACUGAGACACGGCCCAGACUCCUACGGGAGGCAGCAGCAAGGAAUUUUCGGCAAUGGGCGCAAGCCUGACCGAGCAACGCCGCGUGCGGGAUGACGGCCUUCGGGUUGUAAACCGCUUUUCGGGGGGACGACCCUGACGGUACCCCCGGAAUCAGCCCCGGCUAACUCUGUGCCAGCAGCCGCGGUAAGACAGAGGGGGCGAGCGUUGUCCGGAGUCACUGGGCGUAAAGCGCGCGCAGGCGGCAACCUAAGUGUCGUGUGAAAGCCCCCGGCUCAACCGGGGGAGGCCAUGGCAAACUGGGUCGCUCGAGCUGCGGAGAGGCCCCUCGAAUUGCCGGUGUAGCGGUGAAAUGCGUAGAGAUCGGCAGGAAGACCAAGGGGGAAGCCAGGGGGCUGGCCGCAGGCUGACGCUGAGGCGCGACAGCGUGGGGAGCAAACCGGAUUAGAUACCCGGGGUAGUCCACGCCGUAAACGAUGACCACUCGGCGUGUGGCGACUAUUGACGUCGCGGCGCGCCCUAGCUCACGCGAUAAGUGGUCCGCCUGGGAACUACGAGCGCAAGCUUAAAACUCAAAGGGAAUUGACGGGGGCCCGCACAAGCAGCGGAGCGUGUGG